This 468-nucleotide ribosomal RNA is filed under the name uncultured bacterium. RNAcentral's name for it is "partial 16S ribosomal RNA". It matches the Rfam family "Bacterial small subunit ribosomal RNA", at positions 28 to 507 of the family's 1533-position model. The record is from RNAcentral.
GACGAACGCUGGCGGCGUGCUUAAUACAUGCAAGUCGAACGGAAAGGCCCUGCUUUUGUGGGGUGCUCGAGUGGCGAACGGGUGAGUAACACGUGAGUAACCUGCCCUUGACUUUGGGAUAACUUUAGGAAACUGGGGCUAAUACCGGAUAGGAGCUCUUGCUGCAUGGUGGGGGUUGGAAAGUUUCGGCGGUUGGGGAUGGUCUCGCGGCUUAUCAGCUUGUUGGUGGGGUAGUGGCUUACCAAGGCUUUGACGGGUAGCCGGCCUGAGCGGGUGACCGGCGACAUUGGGACUGAGAUACGGCCCAGACUCCUACGGGAGGCAGCAGUGGGGAAUAUUGCACAAUGGGCGGAAGCCUGAGGCAGCAGCGCCGCGUGCGGGAUGACGUCCUUCGGGUUGUAAACCGCUUUCGCCUGUGACGAAGCGUGAGUGACGGUAAUGGGUAAAGAAGCACCGGCUAACUACGUG